CCUGAACGCACAAAAUCUGACGCAGUUUCCUCGCCCUCCCCUCUGACACGCGCGUGUGCGCAGCUUGCUCCCGAGUACGUGUGAUCGUCGACUCAUUCAUACGCACCGGCGAACAAAGAGAAAUUUAUCUCCUCCACGUCCACCAAGACACACGCGCAUCACCACAUACAUCUCUGCAUACGCGGCGAGUAGAGUCACACGCACGCAACACAACGCCAGAAGAAACGGGCAAAGCGCGCGAUUCCUCACGUCUACAUACGCCUACCGCGUUGCCUCCUCUCCUGCUCGUCGGACACAGCGGGGUAUUUCGCUUUCGGCGCUCAACCGCUGCAGUUUUCUUGCUUCCUUGAACUGUUUUGGUGUGUGUGUGCGUUUCUCCUCUCCCCCUUUCCCAUUAUUGUUGCCUCCGUCACUCUUUCUCGCUUUGUCUUGCUGUAUUCGCUACCGCCACCCCAGUGCGCUCUUUGCCAACGGCCCCUGCCGCGUAUCCCCAUCAUCGACAUCAAGCGCUCUCUCCUCCCGAAAGGUCUGUUCUGUCUGUUUUGUUGAGGUUGCUGUGCUUCUUUCUUUUUCGAAGAUUUUCGCUCGUUUAUUUAUACACCGCACUGCGCCUCCCUCCCUCCUCUUCGCAUUGCUUUCUUUCCUCUUCCCCAGCCCACCGCGCUGUAUCGAAUUCACCAUCACCUCCGCCGCACCCACAAACGCCCCUUUCCCCCUCAUCCCUUCCUCUCUUUGCACACGCGCGCCCUUUUUUUUGCGAGUGCGCAGUGGAGUGUCGAUCGACGACGCUACGCUUGCAUGCACAUCACCGCCGUCAACUGAAGCCCACCGAGAGAAUACGCUUCUUUUUCUUUCGGCCACUCUUAGUCCCUGACGCUGCCACUCCACCCCCUCCCCCUGUUCUGCUCCUCCAGUGAGAACACCACCCACACAUCACACGAGGGGGCCAAAAAGUGCGAUAGAGACGACGACCCGAGACAGCGUAACGUGCACGGAAAGAUUCGUACGCAUCCAGCAAUGGCGGCGAUUUCAACCAAGGAGCUGAUGGAAGUGACGCUAGGCAAGAAGCUCGGCGCUGGCAGCUUCGGCUCGGUUUUUGUGGGUGUGCUUCCCAGCGGCAACUUCGUUGCGGUGAAGAUACUGGAGCUCUCAGAUGACGCGCCGUCAAACACGGAGGUGGAGAUUCACCGGAAGAUGGUGCACCCCAACAUCAUUCGCUAUCUGUACAGCCGCAUUGAUUUGGAAAGCACGCCAAAGAAACUCUACGUCUACCUGGAGUUUGUGACUGGUGGCUCGGUGACGUCGCUGAUGAAGAGCUUGCCGAAUGGCUGCCUGCCCUAUGCAGUAGUGCGCGUGUACGCACGGCAUAUGUUCCAAGGAUUGGAGUAUCUUCAUAGCAACCAGGUUGCCCACCGUGACAUCAAGGGCGACAACGUGCUUAUUUCCAUGGACACAGGCACGGCAAAGCUAGCGGACUUUGAUCAGGCAAAAAUCAUGAACACGCACGGCACCUUGCGCAAAGCGGCGACGGCGACGUUGGCGGGCACGCCAUACUGGAUGGCGCCUGAGGUGAUCACAGACGAGGACGGCUACGAUCCAUUCAAGGCUGAUAUCUGGUCAGCGGGCUGCACCGUGGCGGAGAUGAUCACAGGGCGCGCUCCGUGGACCCCGAUGCCGAAUGUGAUGCACAUCAUGAACAAGCUGGCGCUCUCGACCGGCUGGCCUGAUGCGGUGCCGAAGGACGCCAAAGAGCUCGGCUCGCAAGACGCGUACGACUUCUUAGACUUGUGCUUCCAACGAGAUGUAUCGAAGCGGCCGCCAGCCGCUACUCUCCUUAAGCACGUGUUUCUCCGAGUGUGAUGGCGCUGAGGGAUGAAACGAUCCAGUUUCCCAAAUCAUGGCAGAUAGUGCAUACAUAUAAGAAACCAUUCACGGCUGGCUCUGAAAAAAAAAUGGUGAGGAGGUGCGAUGGUGAUUUCUCAGGAUGUGAGGUGAAGUCGGAGAGGGGUAGAGGGGGCGGAUCGUUGCAAGCUUGGAUGGGUGCGUCUUUCCUUUUCCCUGUAUCUCUGCAUGAUUGACAUUGACGUAAUUGCCCAUUGCGGUGCCUCACGAAGGUCCCCCUCCUUCUAUCUGUCCACCUCUCUUGAGUGUUCAUGUAGUUCUGUGCGCUGCACUGCUUCACAAAGGGUGAGCGUAGCGGUAUGCGUGAGCCUGUGCGCGUCCGCCGUGUAACGGUGGCUGUAAGCCACGCUGUGCGCAUUUUUUUUUCGUUUUGUGCUCUUUGGCGACUCCGCGCGUGCACUGCCGCGAUGUUUGCGCUCCACCAAACUGAGGUGCCGACCUCAUUUUGGGUGUUGCUGUGUCGAUCGCUGUGUCUCGUUUUUUUUUUCUUCUUUCUGUAGUCCUUUGUUUUAUGAUGAGCUAUGUGUGUGUGUGUGUGUUGGUGUUUGCAUAUUUUGUGCGCCUCUCUGGUGUGGAGCGGAGUUGAAUGGGCUUUGGUGAGCUGAGGUGUGUGUAGUACUUCACGCCACCCCCUCGUGAUGUCGAUCGUGUUUUAUCUCUUUUCAGUUUUUCCGAUGCUUUCUCUUGCACGUGUGAUUGCUGCAUUUUGAUGAUUUUAUCUUUUUUUUUAUUGUUGCUUCUCUCUCUGUAGCUCGCUUUUUUUCUUUGUUUCUACUCCCUUGCGGUCUUUGCGGUAUGCAUGCGCGUGUGUGUGUUAUUGUUGCGCACCCAUACAUCUCCCUCUCUACGCCCACGCCCCUCGCUCCCCCGAUCUUUCUGUUCGUAUGUCUUUUUUUCUCGCCCAGCGGCAAUCAGGGCCCGUAGGCAAGUAUGAUGAGUUUGUCUCUCCCCCUCCCUGUGUACACGUGCUGAUGGACCGAGGUCCUUCCUCGCGUCGCACCGCGCCUCCUCCUGUUUUCACGCCCUUUUGUUUUCGUCAUCGUCUAUUGCACACAUGUGAGUGCGCGCGUGCGCGAAUGCCCCGAAACAAUGUGGCGUGAACUCGCAGGGAGGAAGCGAAGAGUGACAGCAACGUUGUGUGUGUGCAGCGAGCGCUGCAGCUGUGUGCAGCAAAGACACUAAAAGAACCUUUAGAGCAACAGUUAGCGUACCAAAGACGUGUUUCGCAGAGGUGCCCUGACCGUGUGUAAGUGCGCGCGCAUGCAAGCAAGGCGAGAAGUAAAGAAAGGUGAGUCAGGGUUACACGCGAGGCAUACCCUUUGCAUGCACACACGCACAGUGAGCAGCACGCCUACACAC
This 3261-nucleotide unclassified non-coding RNA is filed under the name Leishmania donovani. Its description in RNAcentral is "gene:LdHU3.19.0150(CDS-product:mitogen-activated_ protein_kinase_kinase_kinase_putative)". The record is from RNAcentral. Lineage: Eukaryota; Euglenozoa; Kinetoplastea; Trypanosomatida; Trypanosomatidae.